CCCAUCGCCAGCCCGACUCAGAAGUUUCUGUUUUAGCUUCCCACCCACAGGCCAGGACUGCCUCGCCUGUCUGUGCGUCGUGGAGAAUUCAGCAGUAGCGACCCCAACAUCAGAGCUCCCCAACUUCCGGGAACUUCAGAGCCCUCGGCCUACAGCCCGGGAGGCCUCGUGCCCAGACGCCAUGCACCCUCCGGUAACCAGCAGCCGCCUGUCCAUCCCCCAAGACCGGAAAGGCAGCAGCAGCCCCCGGGAGCCCAGGGCUGUCCUCGGUGCAUCUGGCUGCAGAGGGAAAUUGAGGACCUUACACAGCAGCUAGCGGCCAUGCAGUUCCUCACUGACAAGUUCCAGGACCUUUGAAGUUGGAGCCAGCAUCUUCCUACAAGAUGAACAGCUGCCACCUUUGGAGCUCCGGAGCUGCAGCCAAGCGGGUUCCCUCCAUAUCCUGUUCAGCCAGGGCUUCCUCUCUUCCGCUGCAUUUGCCCCCUUCCCAACGCAGUUCAAAGCAAUUUGAAAUAAAGUCGUUCUCAUAUUC
This 532-nucleotide long non-coding RNA is filed under the name Homo sapiens (human). RNAcentral's name for it is "non-protein coding lnc-CXorf49-2:2". Lineage: Eukaryota; Metazoa; Chordata; Mammalia; Primates; Hominidae. The record is from RNAcentral.